Maniola jurtina (meadow brown) is the source of this 84-nucleotide long non-coding RNA. RefSeq lists it as uncharacterized. The record is from RefSeq and is a predicted model, not a curated record. Lineage: Eukaryota; Metazoa; Arthropoda; Insecta; Lepidoptera; Nymphalidae. The transcript is spliced from 3 exons.
AACAAUUAACAGUUCACACGGGAUUUUGAAAAACCUAAAUCCACGCAAAGAAAGUCGCGGUCAUCAUGUAGUAAUUCUAGUAUA